CCACGGUCUAGAGCAUGCGCAGUGGGAGCGACGCUGAGCAGCCGCUGUCCUUUUCCUCGGCUCCACAAAAGCACCUCAGAAGAGGAUUUGCAGAUCGGUAACUCAAACCAAAUGAUCUAAGCAUGCCUUUUUAUUCAUUCAGCACUGGAUAUUAUCGGCCUUUAAAGGAUAUUAGAAGGGGAAGAUUUUCAAACGCACCAUCACACCAGGAUCUGAUGGAGUCACCCAUUUUAUCACAAAUGGAACAUGAUCAGAUUUUAAACCUGGACGGAAAAAGCUCCAUUCACACUGGAGAGAAACUGUAUACGUGUUGUGUGUGUGGACAAGGCUUCAGCGAAUCAUCAGACCUCACAAACCACAAAUGCAGUCACACUGGGGUGAAACUGUGGAAAUGUGGGGAUUGUGGGGAGGAAUUCAUUUCCGCAUCUGGGCUGGAAACUCAUCGACGCAGUCACCCCAGUAACAGGCCAUUUACCUGCUCAGUGUGUAGGGAGGGAUUCACUCAGUCACCUAGCCUGCUGGAACGCCAGCUCAUUCACACUGACAAGAGACCAUUUCAAAGCCUAGACUGUGGAAAAUGCUUCAGAACAUCCCGGAACCUGAUGUCCCGUCAACUAGCUUGCAUUAAUGAGAGACCUUUUAAAUGCCAAGACUGUGGAAAAUGUUAUAAAACAUCUGGGAACUUGGUGUCCCAUCAACACGUUCACACUAAAGAGAGACCCUUUAAAUGCUGAGACUGGAAAAUACUAUAAAACAUCUGGGGACCUGAUGGCCCAUCAAAGUGCUCAUACGGAGGAGAGAUCGUUUAAAUGCCCAAACUGAGGGAUGUGCUUUAGAAGUCCCAGGGACCUGAUGUCGCAUCAACUUGCUCACAUUAAUGAGAGACCUUUUAAAUGCUCAGCCUGCAGGAAAUGCUACAAAACCCCCUGGACCUGAUAUCCCACCAACAUGUUCACUCUGAGAAGAGACCAUUCAGGUGCUCUCACUCUGGGACUGGGUACAGGUGAUCAUUUGACCUCACAGCACCAGCAGGUUCAUACUGGGAAGAGACCAUUCAGCUGCUCCGAGUGUGGGAGGGGAUUCACUCGGUCGUCCAACUUGCUGAGACACCAGCAAGUUCACACUGCAGAGAGAUCUUUUAAAUGCCCAGACUGCGGGAAUUGCGACAGAAGCUCCUGGGAACUGAAUUGUCAUCAACAUGUUCACACUGAGGAGAGACCUUAAAAAUGCUUAGACUAUAGGAAUCCCUGUGCAAGUUCUUGGGGAUGGUUUUAUCAUCGUGUACACAUUGAGGAGAGAUCUUUCAAAUGUCUAGUCUGUGGGAAGUACUAUCGAAGUUCUGUCGAAUUGAUGUCCCAUCAACAUUCUCACAUGAUGAGGCACCUUUUGGGAUGCUUUCAUUGUGGGACUGGGUUCAGGCGAUCAUCUCAACUCUCAGUAAACCAGUGAGUUCACACUGGGUAGAAAGCAUUUACCUGCUGCAUGUGAGGAAAAAACAGUUGGGUCACUCAUCGGCCCUGCUGAGACAGCAGAGAGUCACCCUGGGGGACAGACCGUUCACCUGCUCUGUGUGGGGGAAGGAAUUCACUCACUUAUCAAUCCUGCUGAGACAACAUAGAGUUCACAGAUCUCAACGGUAAUUGGACUUUGCAGUUCAUCACAUUCAGGACUGAAAGCAAAGUUUUAAUAUUCUGGAUAAAAGUCAAAUAAAUUAGCUUUGUAUUAAACACAGUGUGGCAGGUCACUGUAAGGAUGUGAUCAUGGAGUACUUGGAAGAGUCAGCAUGGCUUCACCAAGGGGGCUUCAUGCCUGACAAAUCUGAUGGAAUUCUUUGAGGAGGUACUGAACAACUUGGACGAAGGGGAGCCAGUGGAUGUAGUCUGUUGGAUUUUCAGAAGGCAUUGACUAGGUGCCAUACAGGAAGCUGCUAAAUAAGGAGAUUACUGAGAGACUGAAGCUUGGACACGUAAAGAGAUUAGAUUCGGGAGCUGAAAUUUGGGAUAAUGCACAGACUGAGAGAAUCAAAUGGUUCUGCCGUGAGGAAUCUUCAGACAAGAGCUGGAACCAGAGAGAAAGAGAGAGACGAGAGCAUUAUAAUAAACCAGCCUGUCUCCUUGUCAGUCAUUUACACACUUGCACACGCACGGGGAAAAGAAUUGUGGGUUUCAGGCUGUCUCUGGGGUUUGUACUGCAAGGGUAUGAGCUCUGGGCUGGGGGUGUGGGGGAGACAAAGGGGCAAAAAGGGGGAUGGUACUAAGUCUGAUGCCACAGAUUUCACUGUCUCCCUCUCUCUUUGCCUCCAUAUUCCCACCUACCUGUCCUUCCCACAGUUUUCUAUAAAUCUAUAAAUGCCCACAUCCUUCGCAUCUACCGCUGUUCACUCUUCCCCCACCCCUCAUAUUCCUCCCUCCCACUGUCUCGCCCCCUCCCCAGGUUUUUCAAGAACUGUUUCAUUGUUCAGUCUUUCUGCUUUCCAGGUUUUCCCACUCACCUCUCCACAACACUUCUCUCUCUCUCUCUCACAUUGGCCUGUGUGAUCUUGCUGUUCCUGCCUGAGGGUCAUUCUGUCUGCAUCAUCCUGUCUCCAUCACUCGUUCUGCAUGGUAUCUCUCUGUCUGCUCUUCCCUCCCAAUUUUUUUUUUUUUUUCUCUGUCCCUUCUGUCUUUCCCACUCUCUGUAUCUGUCCUUUCUCGUCCUCUCCACAGAAUUUCUAUCUUUCUCCUAUCUCCCUCUCCCCUCCUCUCUCUCCGCCCCCUCUCUCUCUAUCUCCCUCGUGUUCUCAAUGGGAUUUCUGCCUCUCUUCCUGACUAUUUCUCUUUCUCUCUUUCUGUAUCUUCCUACGUCCGUUCUCCCCUUCGCCAUCCAUCUAUCCCUCCAUUUUCCUCUUGGAUUCUGUCUCUCCAUCUCCCUCUCUGUCCUUCAAUGUCUCUUUAUGGGUAAUGCCAGAGGAUCUUCCUGGUCCUUGACCCACCUGCAUUUUGCACCAUCGUCCUUUGUCUAAACUGAAAGGUGGAAGGGGUUGUUAGAUAAAACAUCUUUCUCGGUGAGGGGGGGAAGAGGGCCUGCCUGGGGACUGGGAUCUUGCUGUGCAGUGAGGCAGUCAGUGAACAGGCCUGAGUGUCUCUGGCCAUACUCCCUGGGGCGUCGAGCCCCUGGGGUGGGGUCAGGGAUCCAGUAAGGGUCAGGGGGGGAUUUGGGUGUUGCUCAUGGGGAGAGAUACAGUCGGGUAUCUGUACAUAGUGGAGGGAUCACAGGGAAUGAAGAAAGAGGGUGACGCUGCCCGGGGAGCUAUCAGAAACUGUGAGGCUGAAAAUUUUUGUUGGGAUAAAAUAUGGGGUAAAAGUUGGGGGCAAAUAUUUAAAUGGGUGCAAAAAUUUGUGGGGGGCAAUAUUUGAGAUGACAUAAAGUGGGGAGGUUGCAAAAUUGGGAUGGAGAGCAAACUUUUGGAGAACAGAAAUUGGGAAAUGCAAUAGUUGAGGGGGCAAUAUUUGGUGGGUGGGGCAUCAAAAUAUUUUUGUAGGCGGAGUGCAAUAUCUGGCAGGGGCAACAAUGUUUUCGGCAGCACAAGAUUUCGGGAUUUCAGGGCACAAUGCUGUAAGGGUGUGACAAAAUUGUAAUCCCAUGUAAUCCCCUGAUGUUCACCUGUGAAAUGGAUUGAUGUUCAUUCUCAGAAACUAAUUAAAAGGAAACUCCCCGUCUUUAAUGGUUACCUAGUCCCACUCACACCUUGUGUUAGCCUGUGUGAAAAUACUGUGCUCACCUGUGGGAAAAAAUCGUGUUUACAGUGAUACAUUGGUCAUGUUGAUGUGUGUCUCCAUAUGUGUCCGUGUGUAUGUUUCUGGCUGCAAUGAGACUCACAGGAGAGAAGUUUGAAUGAAUGAAUGAAUUAAAAACUGAUGAGUCAA
Long non-coding RNA from Rhincodon typus (whale shark), 3905 nucleotides. RefSeq lists it as uncharacterized. The transcript is spliced from 5 exons. Lineage: Eukaryota; Metazoa; Chordata; Chondrichthyes; Orectolobiformes; Rhincodontidae. The record is from RefSeq and is a predicted model, not a curated record.